UUCUGUACGUAAUGACUGGACUAAUAAAGCUUGUAAGGAAAGUAAAUUGAAGUGAAGAAUCUUAUAUUGCCUGUAAACUGGGAUGAUAUUGAAGCUUAUAAGAGAAGAAUGAGGAACUGGGAGGCUAUGAACACUUGUACAAGAGAAAUAAUGUGGAGUUUCUGUACGAAUCGACUGGAAACUUGACCACUAAUAAAGCUUGUAAGGAGAAUAAAAUGAAGUAAAGAAUCUUAUAUUGCCUGAAAACUGGGAUGAUAUUGAAGCUUAUAAGAGAAGAAUGAAGAACUUGGAGGCUACGAAAGCUUGUACGAGAGAAGUAAUAUGGAGUUUCUAUGUCUUGGCGGGAAACUAUACCAUUAAUAAAGCUUGUAAGGAAAGUAAGUUGAAGUGAAGAAUCUUAUAAUGCCUGAAAACUGGGAUGAUAUUGAAGCUUAUAAGAGGAAAAUGAAGAACUGCGAGGCUAUGAAGAGCUUGUACGAGAGAAAUAAGUGAACGAUAUUGGCUGUAAAGGCUAGGAUGAUACUUAAGUUUAUAUAGAGAUGAAUUAUUAAGUGAAAAAUAUCGACUGUGAACUGGGAAAAGUUUCGUUUAGUCGGCGCGAUAUCUGUGGUCAUAUGCCGGAGAGAGACUGGGAUAUACUACUGAAGCUUAUAAGGGAAAAAUGUUGAAGGAAAAAUCUCUAUGUUGCUCGUAAACUAGAACACUGAUGAAGCUUGUAAGAGGGAAAAUAGAAGGGAAAUUGAUCCUACUGAAGCUUGUACGAGAAUUUUUAAUACAUGAAAGAUACUGGCCGAAAACUAUGAGGCUACGAAGCUUGUAAUAAAAGUGAACAAGUUAAAAGUAUUGCCUGUAAACUGAUGAAUUAUUAAGUGAAAAAUAUCGACUGUGAACUGGGAAAAGUUUCGUUUAGUCGGCGCAACAUCUGUGGUCAUAUGCCGGAGAUAAACUGGGAUAUACUACUGAAGCAUAUAAGGGAAAAAUGUCGAAGGAAAAAUCUCUGUAUAUUGCUUGUAAACUAGAACACUAAUGAAGCUUGUAAGAGGGAAAAUAGAAGGGAAAAUGAUCCUACUGAGAAUUUUUAAUACGUGAAAGAUACGGGCCGAAAACUAUGAGGCUACGAAGCUUGUAAUAAAAGUGAACAAGUUAAAAGUAUUGCCUGUAAACUAAUGCUAUGGAAGCUUGUAAGAGAUGAAGGAAUAGGUGAAAAAUAUGGUAAAUGAAUAUAGAGUCAAUUUUUUUUAUAUUAGAUGUGAACUAGAACAUUACCGAGGGUUUUAAGGGAUGAAUUGAUAGGAGAGUAAUAUAGGCUUGUAAACUAAUGCUAUGGAUGCUUGUAAGAGAUAGGGAAAAGGAAAAAAAAUGAGAGAAAUGAAUACCAAGUUAUUUUUUUUAUAUUAACUGUAGACUAGAACACUACCGAGGCUUUUAAGAGAUGAAUUGAUAAGAGAGUAAUAUAGGCUUGUAAACUAAUGCUAUGGAUGCUUGUAAGAGAUAGGGAACAGUUGGAAUAAUGAGAGAAAUGAAUACAGAGUUAUUUUUUUUAUAUUAACUGUAGACUAGAACAUUACCGAGGCUUUUACGAGAUGAGUUGAUAGGAGAGUAAUAUAGGCUUGUAAACUAAUGCUAUGGAUGCUUGUAAGAGAUAGGGAAAAGUUGGAAUAAUGAGAGAAAUGAAUACAGAGUUAUUUUUUUUAUAUUAACUGUAGACUAGAACAUUACCGAGGCUUUUUGGAGAUGAAUUGAUAGGAGAGUAAUAUAGACUUGUAAACUAAUGCUAUGGAUGCUUGUAAGAGAUAGGGAAAAGGAAAAAAAAUGAGAGAAAUGAAUACCAAGUUAUUUUUUUUAUAUUAACUGUAGACUAGAACAUUACCGAGGCUUUUAAGAGAUGAAUUGAUAAGAGAGUAAUAUAGGCUUGUAAACUAAUGCUAUGGAUGCUUGUAAGAGAUAGGGAAAAGUUGAAAUAAGAGAGAAAUGAAUAUCGAGUUAUUUUUUUUAUAUUAACUGUAGACUAGAACAUUACCGAGGCUUUUAAGAGAUGAAUUGGUAAGAGAGUAAUAUAGACUUGUAAACUAAUGCUAUGGAUGCUUGUAAGAGAUACGGAACAGUUGGAAUAAUGAGAGAAAUGAAUACAGAGUUAUUUUUUUUAUAUUAACUGUAGACUAGAACAUUAUCGAGGCUUUUAAGAGAUGAAUUGAUAGGAGAGUAAUAUAGGCUUGUAAACUAAUGCUAUGGAUGCUUGUAAGAAAUAGGGAAAAGUUGAAAUAAGAGAGAAAUGAAUAUCGAGUUAUUUUUUUUAUAUUAACUGUAGACUAGAACAUUACCGAGGCUUUUACGAGAUGAGUUGGUAGGAGAGUAAUAUAGACUUGUAAACUAAUGCUAUGGAUGCUUGUAAGAGAUACGGAAAAGGUAAAAUAAAUGAGAGAUAUGAAGAAAAUGAAGAAAUAGAAAUAAAAGAAGAAUUAGCCACACACACUGAAUGUAAGUCGGAAAAAGUCGAUCAACCAACCAAAUCGCGGGAAAGAAACAAGAUGAAAAAAGUUAAAAAAUGAGAGAAAUGAAUACCAAGUGAUUGUUUUUUAUAUCAACGGUAAAAAUAAGUGAAUAAGAUGAGCAUUAGCCAAACACGACUGAACGGAAAAAGUCACUCGUCAAUAGUUCAACCCAAAACAUAAACAAGCCCAACAGCCAAUCAGAAGAGAGCAGGAACACCAAUCCACCAAUCACAACCAGGCAGGAAAAUUAUCAGUCACCCGUCAACAGUUCAACCCAAAACAUAAACAAACCCGGCAGCCAAUCAGAAGAGAGCAAGAACACUAAUCCACCAAUCACAACCAGGAAGGAAAUCACAAGUCACUCGUCAACAGUUCAACCCAAAACAUAAACAAACUCGACAGCCAAUCAGUGGAGAGCGAGAACACUAAUCCACCAAUCACAACCAGGUCGGAAAACACAAAUCAACCAAUCAAAUCACAGGAAAAGAACGUAAAAAAACAGGAAAAGGGAAAAAGAAGAAAAUUAAUGAAAAGGAGGAUCAGGAAUGCACAGGUCAGCGAGAGGGAAGAAGAAUUACGUAAAAAAACAGGAAAAAUAAACAAGAAAUACAGAAAUGAAGAUCAGUAUCAACCAUUCACAGGAUAUAAGGAGAAUCAAAUAUUUAUACCCACAACCGAAUAUGAGAAUCGUCAACCGGAAAAACAAGAAAAAUAAACAAUAAAAGAAAUACAGAAAUGAAGACGAGUAUCAACCAUUCACAGGAUAUAAUGAGUGUCAAAUAUCUAAACCUACAACCGAACAUGAGAGUCGUCAACCGGAAAAACAAGAAAAAUAAACAACAAGAAAUAAAGAAAGGAAAACCAGUAUCAACCAUUCACAGGAUAUCAGGAGAAUCAAAUAUUUAUACCCACAACCGAAUAUGAGAAUCGUCAACCGGAAAAACAAGAAAAAUAAACAACAAGAAAUAAGGAAAUAAAGACCAGCAUCAACUAUUCAGGAUAUCAAGAGAAUCAAAUAUUUAUACCGACAACCGAACAUGAGAAUCGUCAACCGGAAAAACAGGAAAAAUAAACAACAA
Molecule: long non-coding RNA, 3571 nt
Organism: Eriocheir sinensis (Chinese mitten crab)
Lineage: Eukaryota; Metazoa; Arthropoda; Malacostraca; Decapoda; Varunidae
Exons: 5
Source: RefSeq, a predicted model, not a curated record